RNAcentral lists this ribosomal RNA (465 nucleotides) under uncultured bacterium. Its description in RNAcentral is "partial 16S ribosomal RNA". It matches the Rfam family "Bacterial small subunit ribosomal RNA", at positions 338 to 795 of the family's 1533-position model. The record is from RNAcentral.
CCUACGGGAGGCAGCAGUAGGGAAUCUUCCACAAUGGGCGAAAGCCUGAUGGAGCAACGCCGCGUGGGUGAAGAAGGUCUUCGGAUCGUAAAACCCUGUUGUUAGAGAAGAAAGUGCGUGAGAGUAACUGUUCACGUUUCGACGGUAUCUAACCAGAAAGCCACGGCUAACUACGUGCCAGCAGCCGCGGGAAUACGUAGGUGGCAAGCGUUAUCCGGAUUGAUUGGGCGUAAAGGGAACGCAGGCGGUCUUUUAAGUCUGAUGUGAAAGCCUUCGGCUUAACCGGAGUAGUGCAUUGGAAACUGGGGGACUUGAGUGCAGAAGAGGAGAGUGGAACUCGAGGUGUAGCGGUGAAAUGCGUAGAUAUAUGGAAGAACCCCAGUGGCGAAGGCGGCUCUCUGGUCUGUAACUGACGCUGAGGUUCGAAAGCGUGGGUAGCAAACAGGAUUAGAUACCCUUGUAGUC